RNAcentral lists this ribosomal RNA (172 nucleotides) under Stereomastis helleri. RNAcentral describes it as "partial 16S rRNA". The record is from RNAcentral. Lineage: Eukaryota; Metazoa; Arthropoda; Malacostraca; Decapoda; Crangonidae.
ACUUUACAUAGAAGAGUAUUUUGAUAAAUUAUUUGUUUAAGUUUAAAGAAGCUUUGAAUAUGUUUUGUUGGGGCGACAAGAAUAAAAUAGGAAUUGUAACUGUUAAUAAAAAAAACAAAUAAUUUUUGAAGAAAAUAAUAAUGAUCCUUAAAAAAGAGUAGAAGACUAAGUU